RNAcentral lists this ribosomal RNA (1407 nucleotides) under uncultured bacterium. RNAcentral describes it as "bacterial SSU rRNA". It matches the Rfam family "Bacterial small subunit ribosomal RNA". The record is from RNAcentral.
GAUGAACGCUGGCGGCGUGCUUAACACAUGCAAGUCGAACGAACCUUCGGGUUAGUGGCGGACGGGUGAGUAACGCGUGAGAAUCUGCCCUCAGGAGGGGGAUAACGGUUGGAAACGACCGCUAAUACCCCAUAUGCCUACUGGUGAAAUGAAUUUCGCCUGAGGAUGAGCUCGCGUCUGAUUAGCUAGUUGGUGAGGUAAUGGCUCACCAAGGCUUCGAUCAGUAGCUGGUCUGAGAGGAUGAUCAGCCACACUGGGACUGAGACACGGCCCAGACUCCUACGGGAGGCAGCAGUGGGGAAUUUUCCGCAAUGGGCGAAAGCCUGACGGAGCAACGCCGCGUGAGGGACGAAGGCCUCUGGGCUGUAAACCUCUUUUCUCAAGGAAGAAGAUAUGACGGUACUUGAGGAAUAAGCCACGGCUAAUUCCGUGCCAGCAGCCGCGGUAAUACGGGAGUGGCAAGCGUUAUCCGGAAUUAUUGGGCGUAAAGCGUCCGCAGGCGGCUUUUCAAGUCUGCUGUUAAAGCGUGGAGCUUAACUCCAUCAUGGCAGUGGAAACUGAAAGGCUUGAGUAUGGUAGGGGCAGAGGGAAUUCCCGGUGUAGCGGUGAAAUGCGUAGAUAUCGGGAAGAACACCAGUGGCGAAGGCGCUCUGCUGGGCCAUUACUGACGCUCAUGGACGAAAGCCAGGGGAGCGAAAGGGAUUAGAUACCCCUGUAGUCCUGGCCGUAAACGAUGAACACUAGGUGUCGGGGGAAUCGACCCCUUCGGUGUCGUAGCUAACGCGUUAAGUGUUCCGCCUGGGGAGUACGCACGCAAGUGUGAAACUCAAAGGAAUUGACGGGGGCCCGCACAAGCGGUGGAGUAUGUGGUUUAAUUCGAUGCAACGCGAAGAACCUUACCAGGGUUUGACAUCCUGCGAACCUCUUAGAAAUUUGAGGGUGCCUUCGGGAAUGCAGUGACAGGUGGUGCAUGGCUGUCGUCAGCUCGUGUCGUGAGAUGUUGGGUUAAGUCCCGCAACGAGCGCAACCCACGUUUUUAGUUGCCAGCAUUUAGUUGGUCACUCUAGAAAGACCGCCGGUGAUAAACCGGAGGAAGGUGUGGAUGACGUCAAGUCAUCAUGCCCCUUACACCCUGGGCUACACACGUACUACAAUGCUACGGACAAAGGGCAGCAAACUCGCGAGAGCUAGCAAAUCCCAUAAACCGUGGCUCAGUUCAGAUCGUAGGCUGCAACUCGCCUACGUGAAGUAGGAAUCGCUAGUAAUCGCAGGUCAGCAUACUGCGGUGAAUACGUUCCCGGGCCUUGUACACACCGCCCGUCACACCAUGGAAGUUGGCCAUGCCCGAAGUCGUUACUCCAACCCUUGUGGAGGAGGACGCCGAAGGUGGGGCUAAUGACUGGGGUG